This 3454-nucleotide long non-coding RNA is filed under the name Phaseolus vulgaris (common bean). Its description in RNAcentral is "long non-coding RNA (PVUL_LNC002546)". Lineage: Eukaryota; Viridiplantae; Streptophyta; Magnoliopsida; Fabales; Fabaceae. The record is from RNAcentral.
UAGAGAGGGGAGUAGUCACUGUUAACGCUUGAGCUUGAGCAGCGUGCCACCGUGAUGGAGUAGCCGUGCCACCGUGAGAACGCAAACGGAGUCUCUACGAUUUUGCCCUAGGUUUUCAUCUCGAUUCCUUUCUUUCUGUGUUGUGUAAUUUUGUUAUUGAUUCCAACUCUUUCUCGUUUUUAGACAAUGAGAUAUUAGAGAAUUUGUUUCACCAUAUUCAGUUGAGUGAUUUCCACAUGCUUCAACCUUAAACACAUUCCAAAAACUUGAAAAACCCUUCCAAUAGCGCCCUGAAUUUCCAAAAUUUCCCAAAUUUCCCAAAUGCUGCCCUCAGAAACGAAACCACAAAUUUAAGAACAAGCUCCUACACUGAUAGUCGUGGUUCUUCUUUGGUUCUUUCUUCCAAUUUACAUGCUACUUGUGCUCGCGGUAACAGUUCAUUCUUCUGUAGUUUUUUCUUCUACAGUUCGUUUUUAUUUCGAUUUUCUCAUUGGUUAGGGUUCAUGGUGACCUAAGUAGAGUUGAUCAUUCUCUUGUAAUUGCUUUUGUCACUAUGUUUGGACUAAUAUGCAUAUCUCUAUAUAUCACACCAUGCAUCUAUGACCUCCCUGUACCUCAAAUCAACUCAUAUGUAAUCAUACUCCUUGCCUUUUCUCCAAUAAACAAUUUUGUAGACUCUAUUUGACUAUUUUUAUAAUUAUAUACAUAUAUAUUCCCAUGGACAAUAUAUAUUGUUAUGAGCGUGGACAAUGCAUACUGGUGUUGUUGCCAUUAAUCAAAUCAGUCUUUAAUAAGAUGUUUGGUUUGGUGGAGAAUUAGAUUUAAAUCGAAGUUGGUUUAUAUAAAGGAAAUAAAAAAAAUCGAAGUUGUUCCUACCGACCAUGUUGUUUUUCCCUGUUUCUUUUUUCUUUUAUAAAUUAUCAUUUUCCACAUUUUUUAAUCUACUUUUUCUUAAAAAAUACUCAAAACUGUAACAAUAUUUGUGUAUUGAAGUUGCUGAAAUUUGUAUCAUUCUUAUAGGUAACCUUUUUUCUUCCUUUCUCUCAUGUUUGUUCUGUUAAAGUUUUCAUGAUUUAUCUUGAGAAAUGAAGUUGCUUGCUAAGUGUUUGAGCUACAUUUCUAAGGUUGAAAUAUUGAGUACUAGUUGAUUUCUAAUGUACCCUUAAACAAUAUCCAUCAUAAUUUUAAAAUGAUAGGGCAAUUUGUGAUGCUUUACUUUUUUUAAUUUGUUUAUAGCAGUGUAUUUGUAAAGGAGCUAGUUAGUAUACUUUGAAUGUUUUGGAAGGAAAUUUUAUUGAAGUUUUUUAUCAAAUCUUUGGAGUCAUUAUUUAUGACAAUAAUCAUGCUCUUCCAGAGUCUGAAGAUGUAGAGUAACAGCUCUGAAGAUGUAGAGUAACAGCUGUGUUUUCAGGUGGAAAACAAAUAUGGCUUAACAGUUCUUAUUUGUUUGCAGAUCACAACCAUAAUCAAUUCAGAAUAGAAGAAUAGUGCUUUGAGGUGAGUGUUCAAACUAUUUUGUUAAAGAAAUCAGCAAAUGAAAUGUUAUGGUAAACAUUGAAAGCAAAGUUGAAAGUUGAAUGUUAUAAUAAAAGGGCAUUCUUUUCUUAUUUUAUUAUUAUUGAUAACAGUUCUUACACAGGACAAGUUAUUUUCUAUCAAAUAUUCUAACAAUACUAUACUGCUUAUAGGUCCAAACUAUCAAUUCUGUGUGAUGCUGAGGUUGCUCUCAGGUACCAUUAUUUCUCCUCCUUCAACUUUCCCUUUUCUUCUUCUUAAAUUAAUGUGUGAAUGCUUAUGCUUCCUGUAAUUUUAGCACCCCUCUUGCAACCAAGACUAGUUCCUUUAAUAUGUGACCUUGUAAAUUUCAUGCAUACCUAUAAAAUUUCACUUGUAAUGAUCCGUGUGAAAAGGUUAUUCAUAAUUUUGUGUAGGUUUAUGUGCAUGAUGUGACUACUGUUAGUUCCCUGGAAUAUAUGUAGCUGAAGGUAAUUGAGACUUUAUGAAAUUAUCAUUAAUUUAAAAUGUGUUAUCAAGGAUUGAAAUUGACCACAGUGUGCGUGUGACAAUUCCUAGAAAAGAAUUAUGAAUAAGAAAUGAGUGAAUGUUAAAGAAUAAAGAGGCAUAAUGUUAGCAGUAAUUAUCUAGUGUUGUGCAGGUUGUUAGAAUUCACAUAUUCAGAUAUUCAGAUAUUCAGAUAUAAAAUUAGAAUGAUUAGAAUUCACAUAUUCAGAUUGUUAGGUCUAAGUUAAUAUAACUGUUUCCAAAGGUAAUAAAAUGAUUAGCAGCUGCAGUUGAUGAGGGAAAUUGCAUCAUGUCUUUGCUAUUCUCAUCACUUUGCAUCAUGGAAAUUAGAGGUGUGCUAAAGGAGAAAAAUCUCAUUCUUAUUAUUCUCAUUCAUACCCUUUUACAGUAGUUUCUUAAUUUUAUUCUUUUCUUCACAUGUAUAAGUUUUAUCUUAAACUAUUCUUCUCCUUUUAUGCAUGAAACAUGUCUCCAAGUAACAUUAUUAUACUUUGUUUCAGAUCUAGAACAACCUAUUUGCUCGAUUACUGGUUUGCCUGCCAAGUAAGAUCUCUUUUAUCAACUUGGUAGUUCUUGCAUUUUUCUUUUCUAAUGUUGCAGUUCUUGGUUAAAAUUGUCUUUGGAUAGCUUGUAUUCUUGUUAUUUAUGUUAUUAGUACUUGAGUAUUUUUUUGGGAUGGGAAGUUUGGAUAUGCUUUCCUUGCAUAGAACAAUCGGUUUUAUGUUAUCUACUGUUAAGGAAUUCUUUAGUCUAUUUCCACUAUACCCACAUAUUGUUAAGGAAUUCUCUCUGGAAUAAUAUAGGUAUCGUGAUCCAAAGACUGGCCUGCCAUAUAACUCUUUUCCUUGUAUUAACUAAUUCUGUUUUAGUCCACUUAUUGCACAUCACUCAUAAUGCCAUUUGUAUGUACUUCAACCAUACUUUAUUUUUUUGGUCCAUAAUUGUUCUUUUGUGGGUUUGGAACUUGAUCUUGAGCAUUAUGUAUAUGCAGCUAACUUGACAGAGAAUCCAAGGUCACCGGUUAGUGGGUCUGGCAGCAAUUCAUCUCCCCAUCAAGGUUUUACUUUCAAAACUGCAUUCUGUAAUUAUGAUAAUUGACUAAUUAAAAACAUAAAUUGGUCCAUUGAUCCCUUUACUAAAUUUUUGCUGCUUACUUUCAACCUGUUCAUUUUUUCACCAUGAAUCCUCACUUUUUUUUGUAAUGUAUCUGCAAUUGGAUGUACAUAAGAAUUUAAUUGGUUCAAGAUUAAACAUGUCUUCUGCGCUUCGUAUUUUUAUAUUAGGUGAUAACAUGAUUGUACUUAUUCAUAAUAACUAAUUAGACUUACAGACAAGGUAAAGAAUCAUCAAAUUUUUUUCUACAGGUUUUAUUGCUAAUAAAUAUUUUAUGUAUUUUUUCUUAUUGUUUUCAUUUGUUUCUCAUUUUUUUUAG